GAAAAGAAACUAACAAGGAUUCCCCUAGUAACUGCGAGUGAAGCGGGAAAAGCUCAAAUUUAAAAUCUGGCGGUCUUUGGCCGUCCGAGUUGUAAUCUAGAGAAGUGUUAUCCGCGCUGGACCGUGUACAAGUCUCCUGGAAUGGAGCGUCAUAGAGGGUGAGAAUCCCGUCUUUGACACGGACUACCAGGGCUUUGUGAUGCGCUCUCAAAGAGUCGAGUUGUUUGGGAAUGCAGCUCAAAAUGGGUGGUAAAUUCCAUCUAAAGCUAAAUAUUGGCGAGAGACCGAUAGCGAACAAGUACCGUGAGGGAAAGAUGAAAAGAACUUUGGAAAGAGAGUUAAACAGUACGUGAAAUUGCUGAAAGGGAAACGCUUGAAGUCAGUCGCAUUGUCUGGGAAUCAACCUUGCUUUUGCUGGGCGUACUUUCCAGAUGAUGGGUCAGCAUCAAUUUUGACCGUUGGAUAAAGUCUAAAGGAAUGUGGCAUCUUCGGAUGUGUUAUAGCCUUUGGUCGCAUACAACGGUUGGGAUUGAGGAACUCAGCACGCCGCAAGGCCGGGUACUUGUACCACGUUCGUGCUUAGGAUGCUGGCAUAAUGGCUUUAAUCG
Molecule: ribosomal RNA, 608 nt
Filed under: Hypholoma tuberosum
Lineage: Eukaryota; Fungi; Basidiomycota; Agaricomycetes; Agaricales; Strophariaceae
Description: eukaryotic LSU rRNA
Rfam family: Eukaryotic large subunit ribosomal RNA
Source: RNAcentral